This 305-nucleotide ribosomal RNA is filed under the name uncultured bacterium. RNAcentral's name for it is "bacterial SSU rRNA". It matches the Rfam family "Bacterial small subunit ribosomal RNA", at positions 334 to 635 of the family's 1533-position model. The record is from RNAcentral.
GAUUCCUACGGGACGCAGCAGUGAGGAAUAUUGGUCAAUGGGCUUACGCCUGAACCAGCCAAGUCGCGUGAGGGAAGACUGCCCUAUGGGUUGUAAACCUCUUUUGUCAGGGAGCAACGCCGGCUACGUGUAGCCGGACUGAGAGUACCUGAAGAAAAAGCAUCGGCUAACUCCGUGCCAGCAGCCGCGGUAAUACGGAGGAUGCAAGCGUUAUCCGGAUUUAUUGGGCGUAAAGGGAACGCAGGCGGUCUUUUAAGUCUGAUGUGAAAGCCUUCGGCUUAACCGGGGUAGUGCAUUGGAAACUG